GUGGUCGCUUUGGCAGCACAUAUACUGAAACAGGAACAACACAGAGAAGAUUAGCACAGCCCCUGCGCAAGGAUGAUGUGCAAUUUUGUGAAGUGUUUCAUAUUUUU
Molecule: small nuclear RNA, 107 nt
Organism: Sciurus vulgaris (Eurasian red squirrel)
Lineage: Eukaryota; Metazoa; Chordata; Mammalia; Rodentia; Sciuridae
Source: Ensembl